This 300-nucleotide ribosomal RNA is filed under the name uncultured soil bacterium. Its description in RNAcentral is "bacterial SSU rRNA". It matches the Rfam family "Bacterial small subunit ribosomal RNA", at positions 26 to 345 of the family's 1533-position model. The record is from RNAcentral.
AGAACGAACGCUGGCGGCAUGCCUAAUACAUGCAAGUCGAACGAAGGCUUCGGCCUUAGUGGCGCACGGGUGCGUAACGCGUGGGAAUCUGCCCUUGGUUCGGAAUAACAGUUGGAAACGACUGCUAAUACCGGAUGAUGACGAAAGUCCAAAGAUUUAUCGACCAAGGGAUGAGCCCGCGUAGGAUUAGCUAGUUGGUGAGGUAAAGGCUACACCAAGGCGACGAUCCGUUAGCUGGUCUGAGAGGAUGAUCAGCCUCACGUGGGACUGGACGACGACCGGCCCAGACCUCCGUACGGG